This 345-nucleotide unclassified non-coding RNA is filed under the name soil metagenome. RNAcentral's name for it is "partial contains 5.8S ribosomal RNA, internal transcribed spacer 2, and large subunit ribosomal RNA". The stretch from base 1 to 121 matches the Rfam family "5.8S ribosomal RNA", at positions 35 to 154 of the family's 154-position model. The record is from RNAcentral.
GAUGAAGAACGUAGCGAAAUGCGAUAAGUAAUGCGAAUUGCAGAAUUUCCGUGAGUCAUCGAAUCUUUGAACGCACAUUGCGCCCACUGGUAUUCCGGUGGGCAUGCCUGUUCGAGCGUCAUUAUCCUCCCUCAAACCCCGGGUUUGGUGUUGGACCGAAGUUGUGUGAACAACUGGUCUAAAAAACAAUGACGGCGUCCGUGGGACCCUCGGUGCAACGAGCUUUUAGGAGCACGCGCCGAGUUGCAAGGACCUUCCGGGCCGGUCUCCUUUUACUAUUUUACAAGGUUGACCUCGGAUCAGGUAGGAAUACCCGCUGAACUUAAGCAUACAAUAAGCGGAGGA